GACGAACGCUGGCGGCGUGCUUAACACAUGCAAGUCGAACGGAAAGGCCCUGCUUUUGUGGGGUGCUCGAGUGGCGAACGGGUGAGUAACACGUGAGUAACCUGCCCUUGACUUUGGGAUAACUUCAGGAAACUGGGGCUAAUACCGGAUAGGAGCUCCUGCUGCAUGGUGGGGGUUGGAAAGUUUCGGCGGUUGGGGAUGGACUCGCGGCUUAUCAGCUUGUUGGUGGGGUAGUGGCUUACCAAGGCUUUGACGGGUAGCCGGCCUGAGAGGGUGACCGGCCACAUUGGGACUGAGAUACGGCCCAGACUCCUACGGGAGGCAGCAGUGAGGAAUAUUGCACAAUGGGCGGAAGCCUGAUGCAGCAACGCCGCGUGCGGGAUGACGGCCUUCGGGUUGUAAACCGCUUUCGCCUGUGACGAAGCGUGAGUGACGGUAAUGGGUAAAGAAGCACCGGCUAACUACGUG
Molecule: ribosomal RNA, 468 nt
Filed under: uncultured bacterium
Lineage: Bacteria
Description: partial 16S ribosomal RNA
Rfam family: Bacterial small subunit ribosomal RNA
Source: RNAcentral